Hyla sarda is the source of this 411-nucleotide long non-coding RNA. RefSeq lists it as uncharacterized. Lineage: Eukaryota; Metazoa; Chordata; Amphibia; Anura; Hylidae. The record is from RefSeq and is a predicted model, not a curated record. The transcript has 3 exons.
UCGCACAGGAAGCCCACGUGCAGACGAGGACUGUCAGCGGCUGGAGACGUCCACUGUGCCCGAAAGGCAGUGUCCAGAUGGAAGUGUGUGUGCACGUCCCAUGCCCGGCUGGAGAAGAAGCUGGUGAGCAGGUGCCGCCCUUGAGAAGAGGGGGUGAUAGGGAAAAACCAUUGCGACAGAAGGAGUUGAAAUGGAUCUACACAUUGGACACUGUGAAACCAUUUAUGCACUUUUAUUGUAUUACUGUAUCACUGUAUGGAGGAUAUCACUUUAAAUGAAGAUUACAUCAGAAGAUGAAUUUACCGAGGACUUCACAGAAUAAAAUGUAAACUGGAUGUUAUAGUGUAUUAUGUGAUAAAUUAAUCCCUGUCUCAAUGUGGAACUUCUAUUUCACUCAAAUAAAAACAUUUU